Molecule: non-coding RNA, 790 nt
Organism: Cajanus cajan (pigeon pea)
Lineage: Eukaryota; Viridiplantae; Streptophyta; Magnoliopsida; Fabales; Fabaceae
Source: RefSeq, a predicted model, not a curated record
UACUCUGAAUCCCUCACUCACUCCCAGCCUUUCUUUCUUGCUUUCCUUUAAUCGCAAUUCACAUUCAGUCACAUUCUCGGUAAGGCGAUUCCAUUUGUGAGGUGUUCUUUUCUCUCCUAAUUCAAGGUGGGAGCCAUGGAAGACACCAAUCCAUAGAGACAUUGCCCUAACAUCUGAUGGAAAUACUGCCACCGGAAAGUCAUCUGCUCGAAAGUUGCAUCCUUCUAAUGAGCAGCAUGGAACUUCAUCCAAGGAUGGGAUAUCCAGUUCCGAUUUAUCAAAGCAGUUUGGCAAAGUUCUUCAAGAGUUUCAUAACCGAACCAAAGAAUCGGACGUUCAAAAAUAUAAGAUUCCAGAUUUACAGCUCUUGUUUUUUUUUUCCUGGUUGCAUUUUCUGAUUCAGAAGUUUUACAACUAUUUGAUGGACACAAUGGAUCUGCUGCUGCUAUUUAUGCCAAGGAGAAUCUUCUAAAUAAUGUUUUAAGUGCAAUUCCUUCAGAUCUGAACAGAGAUGAGUGGAUAGUAGCAUUGCCCAGGGCUUUGGUUGCUGGCUUUGUAAAAACAGAUAAAGAUUUUCAAGAGAAAGGUACUGAUAGUUCAUUCCUUGCAGAGUUUGAUAUGUUCUCUGUUAAUUAUUUGUUUAAGAGAGAAUUCAUGUACAUCACUUAAAUCUUCAUGUUAAUAUCACCAAAACUAUUUGGACAUUUUUCUAAUUUUUGUUGUCAUCUAUCACUCAAAGACUUCUCAAAUCUUGGUAUAAUUUUAAGAUUUCUAACCUUUAUUAGAAGGU